GACGAACGCUGGCGGCGUGCUUAACACAUGCAAGUCGAACGGAAAGGCCCUGCUUUUGUGGGGUGCUCGAGUGGCGAACGGGUGAGUAACACGUGAGUACCCUGCCCUUGACUUUGGGAUAACUUCAGGAAACUGGGGCUAAUACCGGAUAGGAGCUCCUGCUGCAUGGUGGGGGUUGGAAAGUUUCGGCGGUUGGGGAUGGACUCGCGGCUUAUCAGCUUGUUGGUGGGGUAGUGGCUUACCAAGGCUUGGACGGGUAGCCGGCCUGAGAGGGUGACCGGCCACGUUAGGACUGGGAUGCGGCCCGGACCCGUACGGGAGGGAGCGGUGGGGUAGAGUGUAUUAGGGGCGGAGCCCUGGUGCAGUAACGCCGUGUGGGGGGAGUGAGGAUGCGGGUAGUGUAGCGAUUCCGUCUUUGCCGAGACGAGAGUGACGGUAACGGGUGAAGAAGCACCGGCUAACUACGUG
RNAcentral lists this ribosomal RNA (468 nucleotides) under uncultured bacterium. RNAcentral describes it as "partial 16S ribosomal RNA". It matches the Rfam family "Bacterial small subunit ribosomal RNA", at positions 28 to 507 of the family's 1533-position model. The record is from RNAcentral.